RNAcentral lists this ribosomal RNA (467 nucleotides) under Cylindroleberididae sp. J57075. Its description in RNAcentral is "eukaryotic LSU rRNA". It matches the Rfam family "Eukaryotic large subunit ribosomal RNA", at positions 1460 to 1826 of the family's 3401-position model. The record is from RNAcentral. Lineage: Eukaryota; Metazoa; Arthropoda; Ostracoda; Myodocopida; Cylindroleberididae.
GUAGCAAAUACUCGAGCGAUAUCCUGGAGAUCUGAUGUGGAGAAGGGUUCCAUGUGAACAGCUUUUGCACAUGGGUCAGUCUGUCCUAAGCUGCAGGAGAAAUCCGGGUUCUGGCGAAAUCGGUGCUCCCGAAAAACCAAAAUUAAAUUUUGAUUAAAAAUGGGUGUCACUGCCAAACCUAAGCAAGAGGGAAUCCGGUACUGAUUCCGGAACCUGGUCAUGGAUAACCUCUCUUCGGAGAGGGUCGUUGGGGUCCUCGUGAUCUACACCGUAAGGUAGCUAAACUCGGGGAAGUCCGGCCGCUGUCCCGGGCAGAGUUUUCUGUUCUGUACUAAGGGCCCGGAUCCCUGGAAUCGCCUCGCGCGGAGAGAGGGAACUGGUUUCAUUUUAGCCCGAAGAGCCCCGCAGUUCUUGCGGGGUCCGAUUGGAUGGCGGUCGAACCCUUGAAAACACCCGAGGGAGGGCGU